RNAcentral lists this ribosomal RNA (1314 nucleotides) under Dictyota liturata. Its description in RNAcentral is "eukaryotic LSU rRNA". It matches the Rfam family "Eukaryotic large subunit ribosomal RNA", at positions 31 to 1243 of the family's 3401-position model. Lineage: Eukaryota; Phaeophyceae; Dictyotales; Dictyotaceae. The record is from RNAcentral.
AACUUAAGCAUAUAANUAAGCGGAGGAAAAGAAACUAACAAGGAUUCCCCCAGUAACGGCGAGUGAAGCGGGAAGAGCUCAUGUUGUGAAUCUGGCCCUCGGGCCCGAACUGUACACUGGAGAGGCGAGGCCAGCCGCUGUCCGCGGCCAAGUCUGAUUGGAAAUGAGCAUCAAGGAGGGUGACAAUCCCGUCCAUGCCGCGGUAUCGAUCAGCGCGCGUCCGGCCCGCUUUCGACGAGUCGAGUUGCUUGGGAUUGCAGCUCAAAGAGGGUGGUAAACUCCAUCCAAAGCUAAACACGGGGGGGAGACCGAUAGCGAACAAGUACCGUGAGGGAAAGAUGCAAAGAACUUUGAAAAGAGAGUUAAAGAGUGCCUGAAAUUGCUGGAAGGGAAGCGAAGGAAAGAAGUGUGCGGUUGCCCGGGCGCCAACCCCUACCUGUCCGCAGGUGGGGGUAGGCCGCCCGGCCGCGGUCAGGGGUCGCGCCGGGCUCGGGGGAAGAGCCGUCGGGGAUCGGUAGGCGCGCCGCUUCGGCGGGGCGCUGUCAGGCCCCGGUGGUGUUCCAUCAUCCAUCAUCAUCAAGUAUGUCUUUCUUUCUUGAUGGAUAUAUUUGUUGUGUUGGUUGUUGUUGCCCUGAGCCCGGCCCCCUUCUGGCGGUCGCGGCUUUUCUUCACCCCGUCUUGAAACACGGACCAAGGAGUCUAGCGUGGACGCGAGUAGAGGGGUGUCGAAACCCCCCUGCGCAAUGAAGGUGAACGCCGGUGGGAGGCCGUCCGUCUUGGGCGGCGGCCAGCACCAUCGACCGAGCGUGCUCCUCCGGGGGCAAGGCUUGAGUGUGAGCGUGCAUGCUGGGACCCGAAAGAUGGUGAACUAUGCCUGAAUAGGGCGAAGCCAGGGGAAACUCUGGUGGAGGCUCGUAGCGAUUCUGACGUGCAAAUCGAUCGUGAGAUUUGGGUAUAGGGGCGAAAGACUAAUCGAACCAUCUAGUAGCUGGUUCCCUCCGAAAUUUCCCUCAGGAUAGCAGCGGCCGAGUGCUAACAGUUUUAUCAGGUAAAGCGAAUGAUUAGAGGCUGCGGGGGAGUAACUCCCUCGCCCUAUUCUCAAACUUUAAAUGGGUAAGGAGCCGGGGUCGCUUGAUUGGACCCUCGGCGGCAGCGCCGCGCAAGUGGUGUUGUUUUUGCUGGAAUGGCUGGUCGUUAGUGGGCCAGUCCGGGUAAGCUGGACUGGCGAUGCGGGAUGAACCGAACGCCUAGAUGAAGCGCCUCACUGCCCGCUCACCUAGNUCCCACAAAAGGUGUUGGUUCAUCAGACAGCAG